This 254-nucleotide ribosomal RNA is filed under the name uncultured bacterium. Its description in RNAcentral is "partial 16S ribosomal RNA". It matches the Rfam family "Bacterial small subunit ribosomal RNA", at positions 524 to 776 of the family's 1533-position model. The record is from RNAcentral.
UACGGGGGGAGCAAGCGUUGUUCGGAUUUACUGGGCGUAAAGGGCGCGUAGGCGGUCAGCACAAGUCAGUUGUGAAAUCUCCGGGCUUAACUCGGAAAGGUCAACUGAUACUGUGCGACUAGAGUGCAGAAGGGGCAACUGGAAUUCUCGGUGUAGCGGUGAAAUGCGCAGAUAUCGGGAGGAACACCAGUAGCGAAGGCGGCACUCUGGGCCGGUACUGACGCUGAGGAGCGAAAGCGUGGGGAGCAAACAGG